Chenopodium quinoa (quinoa) is the source of this 1018-nucleotide long non-coding RNA. RefSeq lists it as uncharacterized. The record is from RefSeq and is a predicted model, not a curated record. NCBI's taxonomy places the organism in Eukaryota, Viridiplantae, Streptophyta, Magnoliopsida, Caryophyllales, Amaranthaceae. The transcript has 2 exons.
UUAGCAACAACAAAUUUUUGUUUCCAACCCGUUGCUAAAUAGAGUUGGCAACGGAUUUUUGGUGAAUAGCAACAAAUUUUAGUUGAUGCUAUAUUGAUUUUUUUUUGUAGUGUCAACUCAUACCUUGCUAAAUUUUCCACGUGUAAAAGCCUAAACUAAUUAAAAGAUCGACUCAAUCAAAAGAAUUGACGAAUAAAAUUGAAAAGUGCGUUCUCUCUCGUCUAAAUGCUCUGUUCUCUCUCCUCUGAAAAAGAAAACCCACUGAAACCUAGAACUCACCGGAGUUCCGGCGCCGCGACCGGUUCUCUGGCGAAUUCCUCUUCCAUGUUUUAAGCUUUUUCUUUUGCUCGUGUUCUAGUAUUGAAGUUGAAGCGGAACCAAGCUCCACAACGGGCUUCAAACUCCGCUUAGUGCUAACCUCUUCUCGCUGGAGAAGUUCUCAAGUGGGUUUUCUAAGUUUUCUAGUUUUAAAGUUCAAGUUUGUGAUUUGGGUACUGGAGGAUAAAAAGACGUUUUUUCAAUUUGGUUUAAGGUUUCGUUGACGAAACAAGAUUCAACAGCUAGCUCUAACGUCACCGACUAUGUGUGAUUGGAAAGAUCAAAUUAGUAAAGGAUUUGUUUGUUAGUCGUCCUCAAAUGCAUUCUCCAAGUUUAAAGGAAAGUGGAAUACAUAAAUAGAAUAGUGUGUUUCUCAUCGCAUGCUCAAAGGAAAAUGACAAAUUAUUCAAACCAGCAAGAUCAAAUGUAGAUGUUCUUUAUUUUAAUAUUAUUAUGGUUGUAAUAGAGGAAGUUGUAAGGCUCUUAGUUUGUAAUACUAUUAUUUUAAUUUAAAUCGUUGUAAAAAAUUAUAUUUUAUAAAUUAAAAAAAAAAAAUGCCACGGGUAAAAGCUCAAAUUGCCUAAGUUAUGAGGUAGCUUACUCUGGCUCUCUUGUACUGGGCCACGUGGUUGUAUGCUACGACUGUCGAGUGUAUUAUUCCUGAAAUAAUAGAUAAGGCCCACGUGCGUAGCCUUGAUCA